This 556-nucleotide ribosomal RNA is filed under the name uncultured Geobacteraceae bacterium. RNAcentral's name for it is "bacterial SSU rRNA". It matches the Rfam family "Bacterial small subunit ribosomal RNA", at positions 1 to 526 of the family's 1533-position model. The record is from RNAcentral. Lineage: Bacteria; Pseudomonadati; Thermodesulfobacteriota; Desulfuromonadia; Geobacterales; Geobacteraceae.
YYMMWAUUCGCCCUUAGAGUUUGAUCCUGGCUCAKAACGAACGCUGGCGGCGUGCCUAACACAUGCAAGUCGAACGGAAUGAAGGGGCUUGCUCUUUCWUUUAGUGGCGCACGGGUGAGUAACGCGUAGAUAAUCUGCCUGACGAUCUGGGAUAACACUUCGAAAGAGGUGCUAAUACCGGAUAAGCCCACGGGGUCUUUGGACUCUGCGGGAAAAGGGGGGGACCUUUUGGCCUUCUGUCGWCARAUGAGUCUGCGUACCAUUAGCUAGCUGGUAGGGUAAUGGCCUACCAAGGCWACGAUGGUUAGCUGGWCUGARAGGAUGAUCASCCMCACUGGAACUGAGACACGGUCCAGACUCCUACGGGAGGCAGYAGUGGGGAAUUUUGCGCAAUGGGCGAAAGCCUGACGCAGCAACGCCGCGUGAGUGAUGAAGGCUUUCGGGUCGUAAAGCUCUGUCGAGGGGAAAGAAGUGUAUUGCGGUUAAUACCCGCUUUACUUGACGGUACCCCUAAAGGAAGCACCGGCUAACUCCGUGCCAGCAGCCGCGGUAAUAC